AACGCGAAGAACCUUACCUGGGCUCGAAGUGCAGUGGACCAGGGUGGAAACAUCCUUUUCUCGCAAGAGACUGCUGUAUAGGUGCUGCAUGGCUGUCGUCAGCUCGUGUCGUGAGAUGUUGGGUUAAGUCCCGCAACGAGCGCAACCCUUAUCGUUAGUUGCUAACAGGUUAAGCUGAGCACUCUAGCGAAACCGCCCCGGACAACGGGGAGGAAGGUGGGGAUGACGUCAAGUCCUCAUGGCCUUUAUGUCCAGGGCUACACACGUGCUACAAUGGUCGGUACAAACCGUCGCAAACCCGCGAGGGGGAGCUAAUCGGAAAAAGCCGACCUCAGUUCGGAUUGGAGUCUGCAACUCGACUCCAUGAAGCUGGAAUCGCUAGUAAUCGCGGAUCAUCAUGCCGCGGUGAAUACGUUCCCGGGCCUUGUACACACCGCACGA
RNAcentral lists this ribosomal RNA (441 nucleotides) under uncultured bacterium. RNAcentral describes it as "bacterial SSU rRNA". It matches the Rfam family "Bacterial small subunit ribosomal RNA", at positions 958 to 1397 of the family's 1533-position model. The record is from RNAcentral.